Molecule: ribosomal RNA, 389 nt
Filed under: uncultured bacterium
Lineage: Bacteria
Description: bacterial SSU rRNA
Rfam family: Bacterial small subunit ribosomal RNA
Source: RNAcentral
GACGAACGCUGGCGGCGUGCUUAACACAUGCAAGUCGAGCGGUAAGGCCCUUUCGGGGGUACACGAGCGGCGAACGGGUGAGUAACACGUGGGUGACCUGCCCUCAGCUCUGGGAUAAGCCUGGGAAACCGGGUCUAAUACCGGAUAUGACUCCAUGACGCAUGUUGUGGGGUGGAAAGCCUUGUGCGGCUGAGGAUGGGCCCGCGGCCUAUCAGCUUGUUGGUGGGGUGANGGCCUACCAAGGCGACGACGGGUAGCCGGCCUGAGAGGGCGACCGGCCACACUGGGACUGAGACACGGCCCAGACUCCUACGGGGAGGCAGCAGUGGGGAAUCUUGCGCAAUGGGCGAAAGCCUGACGCAGCGACGCCGCGUGAGGGAUGACGGCCU